AGAUUGAACGCUGGCGGCAGGCCUAACACAUGCAAGUCGAACGGUAACAGGAAGCAGCUUGCUGCUUUGCUGACGAGUGGCGGACGGGUGAGUAAUGUCUGGGAAACUGCCUGAUGGAGGGGGAUAACUACUGGAAACGGUAGCUAAUACCGCAUAACGUCGCAAGACCAAAGAGGGGGACCUUCGGGCCUCUUGCCAUCGGAUGUGCCCAGAUGGGAUUAGCUAGUAGGUGGGGUAACGGCUCACCUAGGCGACGAUCCCUAGCUGGUCUGAGAGGAUGACCAGCCACACUGGAACUGAGACACGGUCCAGACUCCUACGGGAGGCAGCAGUGGGGAAUAUUGCACAAUGGGCGCAAGCCUGAUGCAGCCAUGCCGCGUGUAUGAAGAAGGCCUUCGGGUUGUAAAGUACUUUCAGCGGGGAGGAAGGCGAUAAGGUUAAUAACCUUGUCGAUUGACGUUACCCGCAGAAGAAGCACCGGCUAACUCCGUGCCAGCAGCCGCGGUAAUACGGAGGGUGCAAGCGUUAAUCGGAAUUACUGGGCGUAAAGCGCACGCAGGCGGUCUGUCAAGUCGGAUGUGAAAUCCCCGGGCUCAACCUGGGAACUGCAUUCGAAACUGGCAGGCUAGAGUCUUGUAGAGGGGGUAGAAUUCCAGGUGUAGCGGUGAAAUGCGU
This 675-nucleotide ribosomal RNA is filed under the name Enterobacter hormaechei. RNAcentral describes it as "bacterial SSU rRNA". It matches the Rfam family "Bacterial small subunit ribosomal RNA", at positions 26 to 691 of the family's 1533-position model. The record is from RNAcentral. Lineage: Bacteria; Pseudomonadati; Pseudomonadota; Gammaproteobacteria; Enterobacterales; Enterobacteriaceae.